Molecule: ribosomal RNA, 489 nt
Filed under: uncultured bacterium
Lineage: Bacteria
Description: bacterial SSU rRNA
Rfam family: Bacterial small subunit ribosomal RNA
Source: RNAcentral
GAUGAACGCUAGCGGCAGGCUUAAUACAUGCAAGUCAAGGGGGUAGCAAUACUACCGGCGCACGGGUGAGUAACACGUACAUAACAUACCAUAUACUGGGGUAUAGCUUUGGGAAACUGAAGGUAAUCCCCCAUAACAUUGCGAGAGGGCAUCUGAUUGCAAUUAAAGUUUCGACGGUAUAUGAUUGAUGCGCGUUUGAUUAGCUUGUUGGUAGGGUAACGGCCUACCAAGGCGACGAUCAAUAGCUGGCGUGAGAGCGCGACCAGCCACACUGGAACUGAGACACGGUCCAGACUCCUACGGGAGGCAGCAGUAGGGAAUAUUGGACAAUGGGCGAAAGCCUGAUCCAGCCAUGCCGCGUGCAGGAAGAAGGCCCUAUGGGUCGUAAACUAGCUUUUACUACCGGAGAAACCUUACCCUCGUGAGGGGAGCUGAUAGUAUGGUGAGAAUAAGCAUCGGCUAACUUCGUGCCAGCAGCCGCGGUAAAGU